UACAGCGGGUGCAAGCGUUAAUCGGAAUUACUGGGCGUAAAGCGUGCGUAGGUGGUUUUUUAAGUCAGGUGUGAAAUCCCUGGGCUCAACCUGGGAACUGCAUUUGAUACUGGAAAGCUAGAGUGUGGUAGAGGAUGGUGGAAUUCCCGGUGUAGCGGUGAAAUGCGUAGAUAUCGGGAGGAACAUCAGUGGCGAAGGCGGCCAUCUGGACCAACACUGACACUGAGGCACAAAAGCGUGGGGAGCAAACAGG
Molecule: ribosomal RNA, 253 nt
Filed under: uncultured bacterium
Lineage: Bacteria
Description: partial 16S ribosomal RNA
Rfam family: Bacterial small subunit ribosomal RNA
Source: RNAcentral